This 448-nucleotide ribosomal RNA is filed under the name uncultured eukaryote. RNAcentral's name for it is "bacterial SSU rRNA". It matches the Rfam family "Eukaryotic small subunit ribosomal RNA", at positions 592 to 1017 of the family's 1831-position model. The record is from RNAcentral.
CAAUAGCGUAUAUUAAAGUUGUUGCGGUUAAAAGCUCGUAGUUGGAUUUCUGCCGAGGACGACCGGUCCGCCCUCUGGGUGAGUAUCUGGCUCGGCCUGGGCAUCUUCUUGGAGAACGUAGCUGCACUUGACUGUGUGGUGCGGUAUCCAUGACUUUUACUUUAAGGAAAUUAGAGUGUUUCAAGCAGGCAUACGCCUUGAAUACAUUAGCAUGGAAUAAUAAGAUAGGACCUCGAUUCUAUUUUGUUGGUUUCGUUAGAGCUGAGGUAAGUAGAUUAAUUAAGGGAGUAGUUGGGGGUCGGAUUCGUUAUUUAACUAAGUCAGAGUGAAAUUACUUUGGUAGUUUGUUUAAAGUAACGGACGUACUGCGAAAGACAUUUGUCCAACGGAAGUGUUUUCUAUUGAUCAAGAACGAAAGUUAAGGGGAGUCGAAGACGAUUAGAUACCA